CCCGUAGCUCAGCUGGGAGAGCGCCUGGUUUGCAUCCAGGAGGUCCAGUCUCCGCAAGCGAAAGCGAGCGGGA
This 73-nucleotide transfer RNA is filed under the name Geothrix rubra. RNAcentral describes it as "tRNA-Ala". The record is from RNAcentral. Lineage: Bacteria; Pseudomonadati; Acidobacteriota; Holophagae; Holophagales; Holophagaceae.